GAGUUUGAUCAUGGCUCAGGAUGAACGCUAGCGAUAGGCCUAACACAUGCAAGUCGAGGGGCAGCAUAGAGUAGCAAUACUUUGAUGGCGACCGGCGCACGGGUGAGUAACACGUAUGCAACCUACCUACAUCAGGGGAAUAACCCGGAGAAAUUCGGACUAAUACCGCAUAAUACAGGGAUGCCGCAUGGCAAUAUUUGUUAAAGAUUUAUCGGAUGUAGAUGGGCAUGCGUUCCAUUAGCUAGUUGGUGAGGUAACGGCUCACCAAGGCAACGAUGGAUAGGGGAACUGAGAGGUUUGUCCCCCACACUGGAACUGAGACACGGACCAGACUCCUACGGGAGGCAGCAGUGAGGAAUAUUGGUCAAUGGACGAGAGUCUGAACCAGCCAAAUCGCGUGAAGGAAGACUGCCCUACGGGUUGUAAACUUCUUUUGUACAGGAAUAAAAGCAUUACGUGUAAUGUAUUGCAUGUACUGUACGAAUAAGCAUCGGCUAACUCCGUG
This 505-nucleotide ribosomal RNA is filed under the name uncultured Dysgonomonas sp. RNAcentral's name for it is "bacterial SSU rRNA". It matches the Rfam family "Bacterial small subunit ribosomal RNA", at positions 9 to 507 of the family's 1533-position model. The record is from RNAcentral. Lineage: Bacteria; Pseudomonadati; Bacteroidota; Bacteroidia; Bacteroidales; Dysgonomonadaceae.